This 3833-nucleotide long non-coding RNA is filed under the name Mytilus galloprovincialis (Mediterranean mussel). Lineage: Eukaryota; Metazoa; Mollusca; Bivalvia; Mytilida; Mytilidae. The record is from RNAcentral.
UGGAUGUUUAAAAAAUUCCACAAAUGGUGAAGAAAAUGGCAAGGGAAGACGCCUAGUAAAUGUUUCAAGUACAAUUCAGCAAUGGUAAGUAUAUUUUUUGUAUGGUGCAAGAUUUUUUUGCUGUGUUGAAAACAAUUCGUGGCCUUCCGUUGUUUUUUGCUCUUUGUCAGACUUACUGUAUUGAAUAUAUAUGUACUUUGUAAGACAACUUGCUUUCAAUACAUUAUUUAUGCUGAAACUUUAUUACUAUAUAUUAAGGUAACUUUGCUGUUACAGUCUUUGCCAAACUGAAAUUUGAACUUUUCUACUAUACAUUCAACUAAAACAUCUUGAAAGUUCUUUCUGUCUGAAUUGCUUUUUGUCUGAGACUUGUUGGUGAGACAGAGUUUGGGAUUCACUGCUGUUACAAAUAGUAAGGAGAAUUUAUUAAAAAAGAUAUAAUGCAAUAGAGAAACAACUGAUAACUUAUAAGGGGUAUACUAUACAUGGUAUAUAUCAAUGAAUCAACAUUAGUAAAUACACAGCGAAAAAAAAAGAAACACAUACAAUUGCAAGAUGGCCCCUAUAUGGUUUUUUGAACCUCAUGGAAAAUUGACCAUCAGGUCAAAAUACAGCUAUGGCAAUUUAACCCCCUUGUAUGGAAAAUUGAACAUUGGGGUAAAAUAUAGAUUUUGGCUUACAAAAAAUGUAUAUCUCUGAAAACAAAGCAUUUAGAGCAAAUCUGACAUGGGGUAAAAUUGUUUAACCAAAUAUUAUGAAACUUACACACCCUGAUAAUAUCAACUAAAUGCAGAUCAAGUACAAAUUUGGGUAGGUCACUUUUACUGUUCUGGAGUUAUUUCCCUUAUUAUAACAUUAUACCUAUGCAAGAGGGGGCAUCAUCUGUGUCCCAUGGAGAUAAAAAAAAACAAAAUUAUGAAAAUGGACAAAUCUGACAUUUUGAUAAACCAAAUAUUUAUAGUGAAUCUAGUGUUUUAUUUAGAGAUGUCUAAAAGGAUGGAACAUGAUGAUCCGGCAUGUAUUACAGCUGAUUUCCUUAUGCUUGCAAAGUAAAACUUUGGUUGGCUUGCUUGCUUUGUUUGUAUAAUUGUUUAUACAAGCUUUGUGAAUAAGAUUGACAUCUUUAAACAAUAUAUAUAUAUAUAGGCAUAGUUAAACCUGUAUAUAUAUUAUAUUUGAAUUCAAUUGGGUGUUAUCCUAAUAUGAUUGUACAAUAUACAAACAAAGCAAGCAAGCUAACCAAAGUUUUGCUCUACAUGCAUUAGGAAAUUAGCUGUAACCCUGUAUGGAAAAACACUGUCAUUGAGAGUGAAUUGAAACUAUUUGUACCUUUACCAUGUUCAUAAUUAGUACAAAAUGACAUCUAAUAAAGAAUUAAUUCAAAACUUAAUUUUAUUUCAUUUAUGUUACAGGAGUUUCUGGAAAGCCAAGCAAAACCAAAGGAUAUUUUCAUAGAAAGGACUUCUGUAGGCAAAAAAAGUAGGUAUGUGUAUAAAUAUAUUUAUAUUUAUGUAAUAUUUGGAGAGAGAUUUAAAAAAAAUAAAUGUUUUAAUCCUUGCUCUUCCAAACACACAUUGCAGUUGUUAAAGUUUCAUGGGUUACCUAUAAAUAAAUGAAUGAAAAGUUUCAACUUAAUUCUUAUGGUUAUAACACUUUAAAAACUGCUCGAUUUUGUAAGUAAAAAGAUCAGUUGUGGUUACAUUUUGUAUUGCAAGAUUGUUUUUAUUACAAAUAUUAAUUGCUUCCAAUUUUUAGCUACAUAUAUUAAAGUUAAUAUAAAAAUAAGAAGAGUAUGUGCCAAUGAGUCCACCAGAGACCAUUGCAAAUAAAAACUGUUAUUGAUCGUGACCUCGAAGAGCUAAACGAGUGGUCACGGAGGUGGCUAAUGUCUUUUAAUCCAGACAAAACAGAAAUAAUGAUUUUUUCAAAUAAAGAUGCACCCGUUUUAAAAUUCUGCUUAAAUGAUAAAGAAAUCCCUAUAACAAAAUUUCACAAACACCUUGGGGUAACGUUUUGCUCUGAUGCUCGGUGGAACAGUCAUAUAGACAAUCUGAUUAUCAGUAGUACGAAACAUUUAAAUAUCCUGAGAAAACUCAAGUAUCAGCUUUGUAGGAAAAAUUUAGAAAAACUCUAUUUAGUAUUUAUAAGACCAAUUUUUGAAUAUGCAACUGAAGUUUGGGAUAAUUGCGGGAUAGGAUAUGUUAAUAAACUUGAAAGUUUGCAGCUAGAAGCUGCUAGAAUAGUUACUGGUUUGCCUAUAUUUACAAAAUCUGAAAUUCUGUAUGAGGAAAUUGGGUGGGAAACUUUAGCUGACAGGAGAAAAAGACGAAAAUUACAAAUGUUUUAUAGCAUUCAACAUAACCAAGCUCCGGAUUAUCUAUGCAAACUUGUUCCACCUAGUGUACAGAGCACAACUACAUAUCCCUUGAGAAAUGGCAAUGACAUCAUUGUUCCUUUUUGUAGAUUAUCUCUUACUAAAGAAUCUUUUAUACCAUCAACUAUUAACCUAUGGAAUCAUACCGAUUUGUCCCUUCGAAAAUCAGACUCUAUAGCAAAGUUUAAAAAGGUUAAAUACCCCAAAUAAAGAUGUACCAAAGCACUUUCUAUAUGGACCGAGGAAACUAAAUAUGAUUUUAACACAAUUUAGAUGCUACUCAUCUUUCUUGAACUAUGACUUGUUUAGAGUCAAUAUAAUUGCUGAUCCAUCUUGCUUUUGUGGAUGUAACAUUGAGACUGUACACCAUUUCCUUUUCGACUGCUCUUUAUAUAUACACCAGAGAGAAAUUCUGAUGAAUAAUCUAAGAUGGCUUCCUGAUGACCUUAUUUUAAAUGUUAAGUUACUUACAUCUGGUAAUCCGAAUCUCUCGUAUGAACAAAAUGUGAAUAUAUUCAAACACGUAUUCGAAUUUAUCAAAAGGUCUGAGAGAUUUCUUGUUAUGUAGAAAAUGUAUUUACGGUAAAUUCACGUCAUCAUCAUCAUCAUCAUCAUCAUCAUCAUCACCGUUUUCAAUGUUUACAUUACUUCUGUUUCAUUUGUUUUUCUCAAUUGAUAGACUCGUAAAAUAUUGUUUAUUUUGAUAUUGCAUGCUCAUAUUAAUAUUGUAUUGUAAAUUAUUGUCAUUCGGAGCGGACUUCAUAAGUAUGGCUUACUUGUGUCCAAUCCAUUUUACUUUGAGUAAUAAAAUAUGUUUAAACUAAAAAAAUUGAAGAAGAAUUUAAAAAUUAGCGAAACUCAUGCCAAAUGUAAAACCAAAAAUCAUGUGUCUAAGACUUAAAUAUCAAUCAGUAAACAUCUAAUUGAUUUAGAGUCUAGAGAAUAGACUGCCAUUAAUCAUAGGAUAAGGACAUGAUCUUGUACAAUGCCAAAAUAUAGGUAUCAACAGUUUGUAAAACUGGUCAACAUACAUAUGUGUAUAACAAUAAUGUUUAAUUUGGUUUUAAUUUACUGAUAGCAAAAUCAAUAUUUAUAUUUAUAAAAUACUUUCCAGUUUUAUUCAAAUAUGUUGUUAUAUCAAAACGAGACAAAUAUAAAAAAGUAGAUGUGGUAUUAUUGCCAAUGAGACAACUCUCCACAAGAGACCAAAAUGAGACAGAAAAGCAUGUUUAAAAGUCACUGAGGAUAUGUCAUUAUUUUUAAAACUAACAACUUACAGUAUAUGGGAAUAAAUCAAAUUAAGUUUUUAAAUGUAUGAAUGUAAUUUUUUUUUUCAGAUGAAGACAACUUCAAGAAGAGUGACAUUUAGAAGAUAGAACAUUCUAUUGAUAUUGUUAUUAUGUCAACAACAAAAAAACAUAAAAAGUUGUGUAACGUUUUGAGAUUGCUGUAUAAAAUA